GUGCUUGCACCGCGAUAACCAUGGCGGACGGGUGAGUAACGCGUAAAGAACUUGCCUCUUAGUCUGGGAUUACAGAUGGAAACGACUGAUAAGACUAGAUAUUAUUAAAGCUUCGCAUGAAGCUUUAAUGAAAAGAGAUGCUAAGAGAGAGCUUUGCGUCCUAUUAGUUAGUUGGUGAGGUAACGGCUCACCAAGACGAAGAUAGGUAGCCGGUCUGAGAGGAUGAACGGCCACAAGGGGACUGAGAUACGGCCCUUACUCUUACGGGAGGCAGCAGUGGGGAAUAUUGGACAAUGGAGGAGACUCUGAUCCAGCAAUUCUGUGUGCACGAAGACGGUUUUCGGAUUGUAAAGUGCUUUCAGCAGGGAAGAAGAAAGUGACGGUACCUGCAGAAGAAGCGACGGCUAAAUACGUGCCAGCAGCCGCGGUAAUACGUAUGUCGCGAGCGUUAUCCGGAAUUAUUGGGCAUAAAGGGCAUCUAGGCGGAUAUACAAGUCAGGGGUGAAAACUUAGGGCUCAACUCAAAGCUUGCCAUUGAAACUGUAUAUCUAGAGUGCUGGAGAGGUGGACGGAACUACACGAGUAGAGGUGAAAUUCGUAGAUAUGUGUAGGAAUGCCGAUGAUGAAGAUAGUCCACUGGAC
RNAcentral lists this ribosomal RNA (642 nucleotides) under uncultured Leptotrichia sp. RNAcentral describes it as "bacterial SSU rRNA". It matches the Rfam family "Bacterial small subunit ribosomal RNA", at positions 76 to 734 of the family's 1533-position model. The record is from RNAcentral. Lineage: Bacteria; Fusobacteriati; Fusobacteriota; Fusobacteriia; Fusobacteriales; Leptotrichiaceae.